Molecule: transfer RNA, 85 nt
Filed under: Felis catus (domestic cat)
Lineage: Eukaryota; Metazoa; Chordata; Mammalia; Carnivora; Felidae
Rfam family: tRNA
About the family: Transfer RNA (tRNA) molecules are approximately 80 nucleotides in length.
Source: Rfam by way of RNAcentral
GCCUGGGUGGCUCAGUCGGUUGGGCGUCUGACUUCGGCUCAGGUCAUGAUCUCGCGGUCUGUGAGUUCAAGCCCCAUGUCAGGCU